Molecule: ribosomal RNA, 518 nt
Filed under: Vibrio cholerae
Lineage: Bacteria; Pseudomonadati; Pseudomonadota; Gammaproteobacteria; Vibrionales; Vibrionaceae
Description: partial 23S ribosomal RNA
Rfam family: Bacterial large subunit ribosomal RNA
Source: RNAcentral
AGCGAAAGCGAGUCUUAACUGGGCGCUCAGUCUCUGGAUAUAGACCCGAAACCGGGUGAUCUAGCCAUGGGCAGGUUGAAGGUUGAGUAACAUCAACUGGAGGACCGAACCGACUAAUGUUGAAAAAUUAGCGGAUGACUUGUGGCUAGGGGUGAAAGGCCAAUCAAACUCGGAGAUAGCUGGUUCUCCCCGAAAGCUAUUUAGGUAGCGCCUCGGACGAAUACUACUGGGGGUAGAGCACUGUUAAGGCUAGGGGGUCAUCCCGACUUACCAACCCUUUGCAAACUCCGAAUACCAGUAAGUACUAUCCGGGAGACACACGGCGGGUGCUAACGUCCGUCGUGGAGAGGGAAACAACCCAGACCGCCAGCUAAGGUCCCAAAGUAUUGCUAAGUGGGAAACGAUGUGGGAAGGCUCAGACAGCUAGGAUGUUGGCUUAGAAGCAGCCAUCAUUUAAAGAAAGCGUAAUAGCUCACUAGUCGAGUCGGCCUGCGCGGAAGAUGUAACGGGGCUAAGCA